CAGGGCUCGGUGGGGCUGGAGUCCAUAAAACCUGAAGUGACUCCUCCCGAGCGCCCUUGGGCUCUCCUGUCUCUUGGAAGUGGACAGCAGGGCCACAGGUGUGCGCCACCACAGCCACCCGAGCCAGAUUCCCCUCUGCUGAGAAGCCCGGGCUGUGGGCGGCCUCCUCAGCCUGCGUCUGCUGGGCCGGGCCCAGACGUGGACCAGCCCCCUCGCUGGAGGAGGGAUGCAGCUCUGCCCUACGAGGUCAGCAACCAGAAGCCAGGGCCUCACUCUGAAGUUCAGGUGGCCUGGAACUCACUAUAUAACCCAGACUGGUCUUGAUCUCCCAGAGAGCCUCCUGCCUCAGCCUCCUGAGUGCUAGGAUUACAAGGUCUUUGCGGUGUAGGAGCCCCGGGCGUCUGGUGCGCCCGGGCCCUGCCGCACGCGGCUCUCGCGGGACUCGGGUGGCGAGCGUGCUUCUCCCUCACUGUCCUUGCUCGGCCGUGGACGUGGGCGCCCUGGGCAGCGCGGCUCCCGCUCGCCGCCCGCACAGCAGCAGCAGCAGCAGCAGCAGCAGGGAAGGAGCUGCAUACCCCGGAGGAGCCUGUCACCCUCACCCUCCCCGGCCUGGCCACCAGGGGUCGAUUUCUGUCCCCUCGUCGUGCCUGUCCCCGACUCCUCAGAGAAACGGACCCCCCAGCAGGUGGCCCUGCAUCCACCUGUGACACCAGCGAUGUCCACCAGGCCCACGUCCGCCUCCCUCGCUGGCCCGAGACACAGCCGCUGUGCACCAUGGGGCCGCGUGGAUGGGCUGUGUUCCGCGUCUACCCCCAGCCGGGAGCCAAGUGGGUUUUGUGCAGAGACAAUCUGGGGGCAAUUUGAUGAGCAUGUGCUGUAAGUAUUUGUAUACACAGUUUUUUCUUUGGAGAUAGAACCCAGGCCCUUUUAUUAAGCUACAUCCCCAGCCCUUUUUUAUUUUUUAUUUUCAGAUAAAUUCUUGCUAAUUUGCCCAGGCUGGGCUUGAACUUGCAACCCUCCUGCCUCAGCUUCCCGGAGUGCUGAGAUUACAGGAUCUCACUAAGUUGUCCAGGCUGACUUCAAACUUGCAAUCCUCCUGCCUCAGCCUCCCGAGCAGCCAUCCUCCGAGCUGGUUUUCGCAGGACCCUCGACCCCUAGUGUGGUCACUCUGUCCCUUCUCCUGUGGCCGCCUCUCAAGACUUCUCUGGGUGACGGCACCCGUAUCUCCCUCCCUCGGCCGCUGUCCCCACCAAGGUCCCGAGGCUGGCCACGUGCGUCCAACCCCCUUUCAUCUCUGCCCUCGCGCUUGUCAGGCACCCACGUGGCAUUGGCACUGUGGCCCUGGGCCCGGCCUUGGGCUCUCUGAGGUCAACACCACGCACAUCUGGACCUUGAGGACAAGUGGCCCGGGUAAGAUGGCCAGGGCAAGCUGGGGCCAAAGGAGGGGGUGGCAUCAGGCCCAGGCCGGCCAAGGCCUCAGCAAAGUGACUCCCCCUUUCCAAGGACCGCCAACAUCACUAGGACCACAGCAAUCCCUAGUGCAAGGAAUCAAUAAAUGUGUAUUAAUUCAGGAGUUGCUACCUGAUGCCUAAUGCAUGAAUUCGCUAACUGAUGACUUCAAGCAUUCACCGAGUACCCGCCUGGUUGUGAGAGAGGAGAGACCAGCGUCUCCCUCCAGGAACCUGC
This is a long non-coding RNA of Heterocephalus glaber (naked mole-rat), 1686 nucleotides long. The record is from Ensembl. NCBI's taxonomy places the organism in Eukaryota, Metazoa, Chordata, Mammalia, Rodentia, Bathyergidae.